GGGGAUUUAGCUCAGCGGCAUAAGCGCCUGCCUUGUAAGCAGGCAGUCCCCG
Molecule: transfer RNA, 52 nt
Filed under: Cavia porcellus (domestic guinea pig)
Lineage: Eukaryota; Metazoa; Chordata; Mammalia; Rodentia; Caviidae
Source: Rfam by way of RNAcentral